UGGGGAAUAUUGGACAAUGGGCGAAAGCCUGAUCCAGCCAUGCCGCGUGUGUGAAGAAGGUCUUCGGCUUGUAAAGCACUUUAAGUUGGGAGGAAGGGCAGUAAGUUAAUACCUUGCUGCUUUGACGUUACCGACAGAAUAAGCACCGGCUAACUCUGUGCCAGCAGCCGCGGUAAUACAGAGGGUGCAAGAGUUAAUCGGAAUUACUGGGCGUAAAGCGCGCGUAGGUGGUUUGUUAAGUUGGAUGUGAAAGCCCCGGGCUCAACCUGGGAACUGCAUCCAAAACUGGCAAGCUAGAGUACGGUAGAGGGUGGUGGAAUUUCCUGUGUAGCGGUGAAAUGCGUAGAUAUAGGAAGGAACACCAGUGGCGAAGGCGACCACCUGGACUGAUACUGACACUGAGGUGCGAAAGCGUGGGGAGCAAACA
Molecule: ribosomal RNA, 427 nt
Filed under: uncultured bacterium
Lineage: Bacteria
Description: partial 16S ribosomal RNA
Rfam family: Bacterial small subunit ribosomal RNA
Source: RNAcentral